This 28-nucleotide non-coding RNA is filed under the name Rattus norvegicus (Norway rat). Lineage: Eukaryota; Metazoa; Chordata; Mammalia; Rodentia; Muridae. The record is from RNAcentral.
UCACUUAAAUCUAAUUUGAAAACUAAGU